RNAcentral lists this transfer RNA (67 nucleotides) under Manduca quinquemaculata (tomato hornworm). RNAcentral's name for it is "tRNA-Tyr". The record is from RNAcentral. Lineage: Eukaryota; Metazoa; Arthropoda; Insecta; Lepidoptera; Sphingidae.
AAUAAAAUGGCUGAGAUUUAAGCGAUAAAUUGUAAAUUUAUUUACGAGAAAAUAUUCUCUUUUAUUA